Molecule: long non-coding RNA, 312 nt
Filed under: Glycine max (soybean)
Lineage: Eukaryota; Viridiplantae; Streptophyta; Magnoliopsida; Fabales; Fabaceae
Description: long non-coding RNA (GMAX_LNC001421)
Source: RNAcentral
CCUUCUUCAAACUCGAACCUAUGCCGCCAUCUAAGGGCGUGAUCCCCCCAAUGCAUACACCACAUUUGCAUCAACGGUCAGUUGUGGAGGGACCUUGGCACACAAGCACUCGGAUGGCCCCACAAAGAAGUGAAGAACAAAGUCCCGCCGUUGAGGACACAUUGUUGUUGUUUGGCACUAGAAUCACCAUUGCCUUCUUCAUCAACAACAUGGCGAGUUCCAUCAAUGUUGUCAUUGUGCUUGGGCAGAGGACGACAACACAAGAGGGAGGCCUCGUGUUCAUAUUCUAGAAGAGAGGGUGCUCAAGUGUCA